Molecule: ribosomal RNA, 253 nt
Filed under: uncultured bacterium
Lineage: Bacteria
Description: partial 16S ribosomal RNA
Rfam family: Bacterial small subunit ribosomal RNA
Source: RNAcentral
UACGUAGGGCGCAAGCGUUGUCCGGAAUCAUUGGGCGUAAAGAGCUCGUAGGUGGUCUGUUACGUCUGCUGUGAAAUCCUAGGGCUUAACCCUGGGCCUGCAGUGGAUACGGGCAGACUAGAGGUAGGUAGGGGAGAAUGGAAUUCCUGGUGUAGCGGUGGAAUGCGCAGAUAUCAGGAGGAACACCGGUGGCGAAGGCGGGUCUCUGGGCAGUAACUGACGCUGAGGAGCGAAAGCGUGGGGAGCGAACAGG